UCUAUGGAAUAUACUCCCCGACCCGGGC
This 28-nucleotide non-coding RNA is filed under the name Rattus norvegicus (Norway rat). Lineage: Eukaryota; Metazoa; Chordata; Mammalia; Rodentia; Muridae. The record is from RNAcentral.